This 380-nucleotide transfer-messenger RNA is filed under the name uncultured Roseburia sp. It matches the Rfam family "transfer-messenger RNA". Rfam says of the family: Bacterial tmRNA, also known as 10Sa RNA or SsrA, is named for its dual tRNA and mRNA-like properties. Its role is to liberate the mRNA from a stalled ribosome. Lineage: Bacteria; Bacillati; Bacillota; Clostridia; Lachnospirales; Lachnospiraceae. The record is from RNAcentral.
GGGCUUGUAAUGGUUUCGACAGGGAUCAUGAAGCUGGAGAAGCGAGUCGCACGGGAUGCGUCAAAUUCCAAACUUAAAAUUAAACGCUGAAGAUAAUUUAGCGGUUGCAGCCUAACAGCUGUAACUUGCAGCCCUUAUUGGCUGCAGUCUGACCUAGAGUACCUACACUUUAGGACCCAGGCUUCGACUAUGUAGGAAACGAUGCAGGCAAAGCUUUGAACCUGCAGGCGUAUGAUGAAGCUACUAAACCCGGAACUGUGCUUAUGCAGGCCCGGCAGAGGGAAUGUGUUAUCCAUCCGGAUAGCAGAAAUCAUAAGAUACGCUCGUAGAAGGACAGGGGAUUGAUUUUUGGACACGGGUUCGACUCCCGUCAGGUCCAC